This is a ribosomal RNA of Vulpes vulpes (red fox), 110 nucleotides long. The record is from Ensembl. Lineage: Eukaryota; Metazoa; Chordata; Mammalia; Carnivora; Canidae.
GUCUGUGGUCAUACCACCCUGAAUGUGCCCUGUCUUGUCUGAUACUGGAAGCUAAGCAGGGUUGGGCCUAGUUAGUACUUGGGGGGAAGGGAGAAAGAGCUCUUUAUAUC